Molecule: long non-coding RNA, 424 nt
Organism: Orcinus orca (killer whale)
Lineage: Eukaryota; Metazoa; Chordata; Mammalia; Artiodactyla; Delphinidae
Exons: 2
Source: RefSeq, a predicted model, not a curated record
GACCCGGCAGUGGCUGAGGCGGAGUGUUGCUGGCUGAAGUCGGGUUGGGCGCUGUACCGCGCGUGCUGAGUUGGCUUGCGUACCCUCUGUUCUGGGCCCCAAGCCGGCCCGAAAAACCCACGGACCUCCCCGCCCAGGCUCCGAAUUGUGGCGCAGGUUACUUGCUGGCAUUCCUAUUAACCUGGCAUUUGUUUACAAGUGAAAAAUACCCUAACCAUGGAGGUCAGAUGGGCCAGCAGAAGAGGAACUAGGGGAGAACAUACCUGCUCAACAAGGAGAAGGCAGCCGUGGGACCAUCACAGUUGUGAAUGCAAGCAAAUAAAUGUUUCGUAGACUUUUUUAAAGUAACUUAGAAGCACCCUGGUAAAAUACUAUUACCACCCCACCCUAUUCCCCCAAAUAAUAAACCAAGAGGAAAAUCGGU